AUUGAACGCUGGCGGCAUGCCUUACACAUGCAAGUCGAACGGUAACGGGUCCUUCGGGAUGCCGACGAGUGGCGAACGGGUGAGUAAUAUAUCGGAACGUGCCCAGUAGUGGGGGAUAACUGCUCGAAAGAGCAGCUAAUACCGCAUACGACCUGAGGGUGAAAGGGGGGGAUCGCAAGACCUCUCGCUAUUGGAGCGGCCGAUAUCAGAUUAGCUAGUUGGUGGGGUAAAGGCCUACCAAGGCAACGAUCUGUAGUUGGUCGUAGCGGACGACCAGCCAAACUGGGACUGAGACACGGCCCAGACUCCUACGGGAGGCAGCAGUGGGGAAUUUUGGACAAGGGGCGCAAGCCUGAUCCAGCAAUGCCGCGUGCAGGAAGAAGGCCUUCGGGUUGUAAACUGCUUUUGUCAGGGAAGAAAUCUUCUGGGCUAAUACCCCGGGAGGAUGACGGUACCUGAAGAAUAAGCACCGGCUAACUACGUGCCAGCCGCCGCCGUAA
RNAcentral lists this ribosomal RNA (500 nucleotides) under uncultured bacterium. RNAcentral describes it as "partial 16S ribosomal RNA". It matches the Rfam family "Bacterial small subunit ribosomal RNA", at positions 30 to 523 of the family's 1533-position model. The record is from RNAcentral.